Molecule: ribosomal RNA, 965 nt
Filed under: human gut metagenome
Description: bacterial SSU rRNA
Rfam family: Bacterial small subunit ribosomal RNA
Source: RNAcentral
CGGCGCACGGGUGAGUAACGCGUAUCCAACCUGCCCACCACUUGGGGAUAACCUUGCGAAAGUAAGACUAAUACCCAAUGAUAUCUCUAGAAGACAUCUGAAAGAGAUUAAAGAUUUAUCGGUGAUGGAUGGGGAUGCGUCUGAUUAGCUUGUUGGCGGGGUAACGGCCCACCAAGGCAACGAUCAGUAGGGGUUCUGAGAGGAAGGUCCCCCACAUUGGAACUGAGACACGGUCCAAACUCCUACGGGAGGCAGCAGUGAGGAAUAUUGGUCAAUGGACGAGAGUCUGAACCAGCCAAGUAGCGUGCAGGAAGACGGCCCUAUGGGUUGUAAACUGCUUUUAUAAGGGAAUAAAGUUAGUCUCGUGAGACUUUUUGCAUGUACCUUAUGAAUAAGGACCGGCUAAUUCCGUGCCAGCAGCCGCGGUAAUACGGAAGGUCCGGGCGUUAUCCGGAUUUAUUGGGUUUAAAGGGAGCGUAGGCCGGAGAUUAAGCGUGUUGUGAAAUGUAGACGCUCAACGUCUGCACUGCAGCGCGAACUGGUUUCCUUGAGUACGCACAAAGUGGGCGGAAUUCGUGGUGUAGCGGUGAAAUGCUUAGAUAUCACGAAGAACUCCGAUUGCGAAGGCAGCUCACUGGAGCGCAACUGACGCUGAAGCUCGAAAGUGCGGGUAUCGAACAGGAUUAGAUACCCUGGUAGUCCGCACGGUAAACGAUGGAUGCCCGCUGUUGGUCUGAAUAGGUCAGCGGCCAAGCGAAAGCAUUAAGCAUCCCACCUGGGGAGUACGCCGGCAACGGUGAAACUCAAAGGAAUUGACGGGGGCCCGCACAAGCGGAGGAACAUGUGGUUUAAUUCGAUGAUACGCGAGGAACCUUACCCGGGCUUGAAUUGCAGAGGAAGGAUUUGGAGACAAUGACGCCCUUCGGGGUCUCUGUGAAGGUGCUGCAUGGUUGUCGUCAGCUCGU